Molecule: ribosomal RNA, 1104 nt
Filed under: metagenome
Description: bacterial SSU rRNA
Rfam family: Bacterial small subunit ribosomal RNA
Source: RNAcentral
AGAGUUUGAUCCUGGCUCAGGAUGAACGCUAGCGAUAGGCUUAACACAUGCAAGUCGAGGGGCAGCAUGAUCUUAGCUUGCUAAGGUCGAUGGCGACCGGCGCACGGGUGCGUAACGCGUAUGCAACUUGCCUUACAGAGGGGGAUAACCCGUUGAAAGACGGACUAAAACCGCAUACACUUGUAUUAUUGCAUGAUAUUACAAGGAAAUAUUUAUAGCUGUAAGAUAGGCAUGCGUCCCAUUAGCUGGUUGGUGAGGUAACGGCUCACCAAGGCGACGAUGGGUAGGGGAACUGAGAGGUUUAUCCCCCACACUGGUACUGAGACACGGACCAGACUCCUACGGGAGGCAGCAGUGAGGAAUAUUGGUCAAUGGGCGAGAGCCUGAACCAGCCAAGUCGCGUGAAGGAAGACAGUCCUAAGGAUUGUAAACUUCUUUUAUACGGGAAUAACGGGCGAUACGAGUAUUGCAUUGAAUGUACCGUAAGAAUAAGCAUCGGCUAACUCCGUGCCAGCAGCCGCGGUAAUACGGAGGAUGCGAGCGUUAUCCGGAUUUAUUGGGUUUAAAGGGUGCGUAGGUUGUUCGGUAAGUCAGCGGUGAAACCUGAGCGCUCAACGUUCAGCCUGCCGUUGAAACUGCCGGGCUUGAGUUCAGUGGCGGCAGGCGGAAUUCGUGGUGUAGCGGUGAAAUGCAUAGAUAUCACGAGGAACUCCGAUUGCGAAGGCAGCUUGCCAUACUGCGACUGACACUGAAGCACGAAGGCGUGGGUAUCAAACAGGAUUAGAUACCCUGGUAGUCCACGCAGUAAACGAUGAUUACUAGGAGUUUGCGAUAUACCGUCAAGCUUCCACAGCGAAAGCGUUAAGUAAUCCACCUGGGGAGUACGCCGGCAACGGUGAAACUCAAAGGAAUUGACGGGGGCCCGCACAAGCGGAGGAACAUGUGGUUUAAUUCGAUGAUACGCGAGGAACCUUACCCGGGAUUGAAAUGUAGAUGACGGAUGGUGAAAACCGUCUUCCCUUCGGGGCUUCUAUGUAGGUGCUGCAUGGUUGUCGUCAGCUCGUGCCGUGAGGUGUCGGCUUAAGUGCCAUAACGAGCGCAACC